ACACGAUUAUCUAGUCAUCACGUCAUUAAAAAGUUCAGUUUUAUUGUUACGUUAUACCAAAUGGAUUGUAUUUUGGAAUAAUAUAGGAACAAUGGUGCAUAAAUCAACUAAAAUGUUGCCGAGGAUCUUCUCUCCUUCGAGAGACUGUUGGGGGAAAAAAUACGACAUCAUGUCUCAAACAAUAUUUACAAUGGUUUACUUUCUUACUUACUGUGAGUAGGACCUAUCUUUUUAGAAAGGAUUGAACAUCGCACUCACUCCAUCAUACAUCAUUUCUACAAAUUUUAGCAUCUUUACAGAAG
Cimex lectularius (bed bug) is the source of this 302-nucleotide long non-coding RNA. RefSeq lists it as uncharacterized. The record is from RefSeq and is a predicted model, not a curated record. Lineage: Eukaryota; Metazoa; Arthropoda; Insecta; Hemiptera; Cimicidae. The transcript is spliced from 3 exons.